RNAcentral lists this ribosomal RNA (253 nucleotides) under uncultured bacterium. Its description in RNAcentral is "partial 16S ribosomal RNA". It matches the Rfam family "Bacterial small subunit ribosomal RNA", at positions 524 to 776 of the family's 1533-position model. The record is from RNAcentral.
UACAGAGGGUGCAAGCGUUAAUCGGAAUUACUGGGCGUAAAGCGUGCGUAGUCGGUUGUUUAAGUCGGAUGUGAAAUCCCCGGGCUCAACCUGGGAAUUGCAUUCGAUACUGGAUAGCUAGAGUUCGGCAGAGGGAAGCGGAAUUUCCGGUGUAGCGGUGAAAUGCGUAGAUAUCGGAAGGAACAUCAGUGGCGAAAGCGGCUUCCUGGACCAGAACUGACGAUCAGGCACGAAAGCGUGGGGAGCAAACAGG